Molecule: long non-coding RNA, 350 nt
Filed under: Vigna radiata
Lineage: Eukaryota; Viridiplantae; Streptophyta; Magnoliopsida; Fabales; Fabaceae
Description: long non-coding RNA (VRAD_LNC000714)
Source: RNAcentral
CUAUUUGAUAUCUUCUGCGGCACGAGCCAAAAUUAGGGUUUGUGUUGGUCGGAGGUAACAGCUAUGGCGCCGAAUCAGAGAACGCGAAAGGUUAGCAGAAACCCCGAAUUGAUAAGGGGCAUUGGGAAGUACUCGAGAUCNCAGAUGUACCACAAGAGAGGGAUUUGGGCUAUCAAGGCUAAAAACGGCGGUGUUUUUCCUCGCCACGACCCUACUCCCAAACCUCAAUCUCCCGCUCUUAAACCUCCCAAAUUUUACCCUGCNGAUGAUGUCAAGAAGCCCCUUCUCAACAAGCACAAACCCAGACUCACUAAGCUCAGGUNCAUUAUGUGUAAUCAUUCAUAUGUAUA